GCGGUAAUAGCUCAGUUGGUAGAGCACUAGCUUCCCAAGCUGGGGGUCGCGAGUUCGAGCUUCGUUUACCGCU
Molecule: transfer RNA, 73 nt
Filed under: Bacteroides xylanisolvens
Lineage: Bacteria; Pseudomonadati; Bacteroidota; Bacteroidia; Bacteroidales; Bacteroidaceae
Description: tRNA-Gly
Rfam family: tRNA
About the family: Transfer RNA (tRNA) molecules are approximately 80 nucleotides in length. Their secondary structure includes four short double-helical elements and three loops (D, anti-codon, and T loops). Further hydrogen bonds mediate the characteristic L-shaped molecular structure. tRNAs have two regions of fundamental functional importance: the anti-codon, which is responsible for specific mRNA codon recognition, and the 3' end, to which the tRNAs corresponding amino acid is attached (by aminoacyl-tRNA synthetases). tRNAs cope with the degeneracy of the genetic code in two manners: having more than one tRNA (with a specific anti-codon) for a particular amino acid; and 'wobble' base-pairing, i.e. permitting non-standard base-pairing at the 3rd anti-codon position.
Source: RNAcentral